This 222-nucleotide ribosomal RNA is filed under the name uncultured bacterium. RNAcentral describes it as "partial 16S ribosomal RNA". It matches the Rfam family "Bacterial small subunit ribosomal RNA", at positions 524 to 742 of the family's 1533-position model. The record is from RNAcentral.
UACGUAGGGCGCAAGCGUUGUCCGGAAUUAUUGGGCGUAAAGAGCUCGUAGGCGGUUUGUCGCGUCUGCUGUGAAAGCCCGGGGCUCAACCCCGGGUCUGCAGUGGGUACGGGCAGACUAGAGUGCAGUAGGGGAGACUGGAAUUCCGUGGUGUAGCGGUGAAAUGCGCAGAUAAUCAGGAGGAACACCGAAUGGCGAAGGCAGGUCUCCUGGGCGUGAUUG